CAGUAGCCGCGGUAAUACGAAGGGGGCUAGCGUUGUUCGGAAUUACUGGGCGUAAAGGGCGCGUAGGCGGCCAUUCAAGUUAGAUGUGAAAGCCCUGGGCUCAACCUAGGAAUUGCAUUUGAUACUGUUUGGCUUGAGUUCGGGAGAGGUGAGUGGAAUUCCCAGUGUAGAGGUGAAAUUCGUAGAUAUUCGCAGGAACACCAGUGGCGAAGGCGGCUUACUGGUCCACAACUGACGCUGAGGUGCGAAAGCGUGGGGAGCAAACAGGAUUAGAUACCCGCGUAGUCCCUGUCUCUUAUAC
RNAcentral lists this ribosomal RNA (301 nucleotides) under uncultured bacterium. RNAcentral describes it as "partial 16S ribosomal RNA". It matches the Rfam family "Bacterial small subunit ribosomal RNA", at positions 509 to 807 of the family's 1533-position model. The record is from RNAcentral.